ACCGGCCACCUGGACUGAGACCGGCCCAGAUUCUACGGAAGCAGCAGUGGGAAUUUGCACAAUGGCGCAAGCCUGAUGCAGCGACGCCGCGUGAGGGAUGACGGCCUUCGGGUUGUAAACCUCUUUCAGCAGGGAGAAGCGAAAGUGACGGUACCUGCAGAAGAAGCGCCGGCUAACUACGUGCCAGCAGCCGCGGUAAUACGUAGGGCGCGAGCGUUGUCCGGAAUUAUUGGGCGUAAAGAGCUUGUAGGCGGUUUGUCGCGUCUGCUGUGAAAGCCCGGGGCUUAACCCCGGGUUUGCAGUGGGUACGGGCAGACUAGAGUGCAGUAGGGGAGACUGGAAUUCCUGGUGUAGCGGUGAAAUGCGCAGAUAUCAGGAGGAACACCAAUGGCGAAGGCAGGUCUCUGGGCUGUAACUGACGCUGAGAAGCGAAAGCAUGGGGAGCGAACAGGAUUAGAUACCCUGGUAGUCCAUGCCGUAAACGUUGGGCACUAGGUGUGGGGAACAUUCCACGUUUUCCGCGCCGUAGCUAACGCAUUAAGUGCCCCGCCUGGGGAGUACGGCCGCAAGGCUAAAACUCAAAGAAAUUGACGGGGGCCCGCACAAGCGGCGGAGCAUGCGGAUUAAUUCGAUGCAACGCGAAGAACCUUACCAAGGCUUGACAUAUACUGGACCGCUCUAGAGAUAGAGUUUCCCUUUUAGGGCUGGUAUACAGGUGGUGCAUGGUUGUCGUCAGCUCGUGUCGUGAGAUGUUGGGUUAAGUCCCGCAACGAGCGCAACCCUCGUUCUAUGUUGCCAGCACGUAAUGGUGGGGACUCAUAGGAGACUGCCGGGGUUAACUCGGAGGAAGGUGGGGAUGACGUCAAAUCAUCAUGCCCCUUAUGUCUUGGGCUUCACGCAUGCUACAAUGGCCGGUACAAAGGGUUGCGAUACUGUGAGGUUGAGCUAAUCCCAAAAAGCCGGUCUCAGUUCGGAUUGGGGUCUGCAACUCGACCCCAUGAAGUCGGAGUCGCUAGUAAUCGCAGAUCAGCAACGCUGCGGUGAAUACGUUCCCGGGCCUUGUACACACCGCCCGUCAAGUCACGAAAGUUGGUAACACCCGAAGCCGAUGGCCUAACCCCUUGUGGAGGGAGUCGUCGAAG
RNAcentral lists this ribosomal RNA (1142 nucleotides) under Rothia nasimurium. Its description in RNAcentral is "bacterial SSU rRNA". It matches the Rfam family "Bacterial small subunit ribosomal RNA", at positions 303 to 1461 of the family's 1533-position model. The record is from RNAcentral. Lineage: Bacteria; Bacillati; Actinomycetota; Actinomycetes; Micrococcales; Micrococcaceae.